GGAAGUAAAAUCGUAACAAGGUAUCUGUAGGUGAACCUGCAGAUGGAUCAUUCGUAUUAAUCAUAUAUAAAAUUAUGUUACAUAAGUGUUAAUAGUACUUUGAUAGGAUUUUUAUUUCAUAUUAAUAACAAUUGUUCAAUUAUUAAAAAUAAUAAAACAUAAAUUUUUAACAAUGGAUAUCUUGGCUUUU
This 190-nucleotide unclassified non-coding RNA is filed under the name plant metagenome. RNAcentral's name for it is "partial contains small subunit ribosomal RNA and internal transcribed spacer 1". The stretch from base 1 to 53 matches the Rfam family "Eukaryotic small subunit ribosomal RNA", at positions 1778 to 1831 of the family's 1831-position model. The record is from RNAcentral.